GCUAAGAGGAGGAAGGAAUGGGCAACGGUAGGUCAGCAUGCCCCGAAUUAUCUGGGCUACACGCGGGCUACAAUGGGUGGGACAAUGGGUAUCGACACCGAAAGGUGAAGGCAAUCUCCUAAACCCAUCCGUAGUUCCGGAUUGUGGGCUGCAACUCGCCCACAUGAAGCUGGAAUCUGUAGUAAUCGUGUCUCAAAAUGGCACGGUGAAUAUGUCCCUGCUCCUU
RNAcentral lists this ribosomal RNA (226 nucleotides) under uncultured Methanomicrobiales archaeon. RNAcentral's name for it is "partial 16S ribosomal RNA". It matches the Rfam family "Archaeal small subunit ribosomal RNA", at positions 1113 to 1338 of the family's 1478-position model. The record is from RNAcentral. Lineage: Archaea; Methanobacteriati; Methanobacteriota; Methanomicrobia; Methanomicrobiales.